This is a long non-coding RNA of Acinonyx jubatus (cheetah), 4668 nucleotides long. RefSeq lists it as uncharacterized. NCBI's taxonomy places the organism in Eukaryota, Metazoa, Chordata, Mammalia, Carnivora, Felidae. The record is from RefSeq and is a predicted model, not a curated record. The transcript has 11 exons.
GCCCCCAGCGCGGCCCCGGCCCCGCUUGCCCCCGCGCCUCCCGCGGCUCGGCCCCCGGCCCGGACCGCCCCCAGCCCGCCGACCCCACGGGCCGCCCAGAACCCCCGUCCCGGGGAAGGGCUGAACGGGCUCCCGCGCCGGCCUCGGGGUCGGGGCUCUGGAGGACACGACCCCACUGGACCGUGUCAGCCCGUCUGCGACAGGUGGCACGUACCUGCCUCUUCUCCGAGGAUGGACGAGUCGAGCCGGGCACAAGCAUGGAGCUGCGGGUGAGUCCCGGCUGGUACUGGCGCGGCGCAGUGAGCAGCAGCUGACGCAGAGGGCUCCCUGGCCUCGGCUCCUGCCCGCCUCUCCCCCACCUCCGCCGGGGGCCCAGAAAGGACCUCCCCGGGAAAUCGGCGCCACCCAGCGGGCAGCCGCCUCAUUGCGCCCGGCCGGCAAAACCACGCCGCGCGUCUCGCGUCACUGAGAUGCGUCAAGGCUAUUGGCUUGUUCCAAUUGUGACGUCAGGAGAGCCCCGCCCGGCCUGGGUCUCCCAGGCGACCGGUAUAUACAGAGAAGCACGUGGAGGCAAAGCCCGCGAGUUUGGAAGGGGUGGAGCUCGACCAGAAGCGGACUGGGCAUGUGUACUAUUCCUAUCUCCAUUUUACAAAUGAGGAAACUGAGGCACAGAGAAGCUCAUCAACAGGGUGAACUGUAUCUUUGGCAAUACCCUAAGGUCAUUUGGAUUCAACCCUGAAAUACAAGGCACUUCUUUGCUCCUCUGCUGCGUUCCAGGCACUGUUCUGGUGCCGGGCAACAGAGAGGCACAGGCCCUGCCUCUGAACGCCGCUGGGUCCGAUUCAUCUUCCUUCUGCCUCGUGGACAGUUCGCAAGUGACCUCCCCCUGGAACUCUGGAGCCACUUUAGCAGAAGAGGGAGGCAGCUGUCCUUCUAAGGGGCCUUCUGUCGUGCUUACAGUACAGACAAUAACAUGGGCCUGGUGUCUCUGUGACCCAGGAGCCCCUCCCCAGGCAGCGCCUGCCCUCGCCCUGGCUCAGGCCCCAAGGACCACCUGCCUCUGGCCUGUAUCUAGGGCCACGCCAGUGACAUCUCCAAGCCUCCGUGUUCUCACCUGUCACAUGGUGACAUCACACCUGGCUUUCCUGCCCUCUGACUGAGCAAGUGAAAUCCCCAGUAAAAGGGGGUGAUGCAAACACCCCCUGGGUCAGAACCAGGAGAAUCUGCUGGGUCGUCCCGGGACCAAAGACGAACACGGUGACGAAGAAACUGAUGCCAAGGUAGCGCAUCACACUCGGAGCAAAGGCAGAAGGCUCAGCUCAUGCCGGGGGCACAAAGGAGAAGCAAAAGAUCCUCAUCUCUCUGUCGGGCCAGACCUCCCCUUUGCCUGCUGGCUGUGUCUGUGGGCCCGGCGGCAGUGCCCACCUUCCCGCAAACUCGGGGCGCAGAAAGCCCCAUCUCCCCAGGCCCGAGCGCCGACCCCUGCCUGCCCCCGGUCUACCCUGGGCCCCUGAGGAGCGACCGCCCUGCCGGGUGUGCUGCUGCUGGACAAGAGCUUCCCAGGGAUCCCCCUCCCUCCCACCACCCCAGAACUGGCAGAAAGGAAGAGGACCAUCCGGUCAGAAACCAGCUAAGUGGAAUACUGGUGACCGCUCUUAACACCUCCUGAGAUUAUCGUUAGGUGGCCUUUGAAUACGAAGGAACUCAGAGACCUUUGCAGUGCCCGAGCUCUGUCUCUCAAAGCAGCAUCGAAGGCUGACCGCACCGGGCACUUACUGCCUCCCACUCUCCUGACACCCGGGGGUCAGGGGGGUGGGGGGAGGCAGGCCCUGACUCGGCUUCACCGAUAAGGUACUGGAAGCUCAGAGGGGUGAAGUCAUGAGACCUGGCGCUGGGGUUUCUGGGGCUCCAGCCCUCACUGGUGCCAUCCCCGACGGGACCCAGGGAAGCGGACGAGAUGACUCUGUGGACCUUGAGGCCCAAAGUCUGGCCUCUCACAGACUCCUCCCUUCCUCCUGCUCAGGGGGGCAUCUGGAGAGGAGACGAAUCUGGGGGAGAUGUUAAUUAGUUCUGACAAAUUAAUAAAGAAAGCCUAAUUUAUUCUCCGGAUCUAAUUUCCUUCCCCGAGCUUUAUUUUCCUGCCCAACAAGCUGCUGCUCGGGAAAUGGAGGGGAAAGGUGGCGGCGGCGGGGUCAUCUGAAGACGGGUCCAGCCCAGAUCAACCUGCCUCCUCCUCACUGGCCACCCCGCGCCACCCCGCCCCUCCCCGGACAUUAAGCUGUCAAGCCACUCCCAAUUAUCUCCCUCCAUGCCCGCUGGCUCCAGGGGCGACAGUGGUAGCAAGCUGGCGUUGACUCAUUCUGUCACCGGCCUGCCCUGCUUCGGGAAAAUGCAAUUUAAUGAAGUCCGAUGGCAGGGCUGGGGCAGACAGGGUCCCAGGAAGAAGGUGGCGCUAGCCUGGGGACGGCGGAUAGCCUCCUCUCUCCGUGGGGCGGGGUCUUCGAUCUGCCUGACAUUAUGUCAUUUUCAGCGCCCAGCCAAAUACCAGCGGGAGGGGUCAUUCCUCUAGGUUCCUCUGCCUCCACUCACCCCUUCUGCGGCUCUGAGCAGCCAAGGCAUUGACCUUCUCCACGAGGGCCUCCACCUCCCCCGGCUGCCUGUUUUAAUAGCGUAUGGUCAUGACAGCUCGGAAAUUCUUCCCGCUGUUUUAAUCUUGAUCCCUUUCGCUGAAAGGCAAGUGCAUUUCCCCAUGCCUUUUGAUACGGAAUCUGGGAGAGGGUCAGCCACUGCCAGAAACCACCAGGCCAGUCCAGGGUUGGGGAAAGAGGCCGUGCGUGAAUUGGCAGGCCAGCUCUGGUGCCGGAAGGAAGCGGGUCUUCCCUUUGGAUUUGGGUUCACUUGGGCUCGGCCCUGCCUUUUGCACGCCCCCGGUCCUGCCUCGUCAGUGGCAUUUGCUCCUCCUGAGCAGGAGGAAGGGAGGAGUCUGUGAGAGGCCAGACUUUGGGCCUCAAGGUCCACAGAGUCAUCUCGUCCGCUUCCCUGGGUCCCGUCGGGGAUGGCACACAGACUGGUGUGUUUUUUGGUGGGGUAGCAGAGAGGCCCCAGCUCCAGGCUCUUGGGUUCAAAGCCCGGCUCUGCCGCUGGCUUGCUGUGUGACUUUAGACUUUCCGUUCUGGUUUCCUCACGUGUACAAAUGGAAUGGUAGUAGUAACUUCCCCUUGGUUGUUGGGAAGAUUAGCGCCCUCACCUGUUAAGACCCCCUUGUGGCGCGUUCCCGCCAGGCCAUCAUUGUCUUUGGCCAUCGCUACACCCGGAAGACCUUGUUCACUGUCCGUCCCCUACUGGGCCGGGGCUCCGGGAGAACCCUGAUGGCGCCCGCCUGCUCAAGCUGGACCCCAGCGCCCCGCCAGGGCCUGCACUCAGCCCCUCAGUCUCUAGAAGUCGAUUGAUAUAUGGCGUGACUGGGAGGCCACGGUGUCUGGGACUGAGACAGUUUCGAGAAGUACUCCUGGCAGGGAUAGAGGGGGCCGGCUCGGAUCGUAAGCCUCUCCUGCCUGGCUCCAUUCUGGGUCCCACACGCAGGAGGCCCAAAAGUAGUUGGGAAGGACUUUCCCGCUGGUGGCCAAAGGGACAGAGAAAUGUCUUACGGUAAAGGCAGUUAGACAUCUCUAGACCUCAGAGACCGGCCAGCCCCUGGGAAGUCACAGCACCCCAUUCUUUUGUGCCCUUCCUGGCCUUGGAGGGCCUUGGACUUGACCACGUGGUGGAGGACAGCUAUGGGCCCUGCUUGCAUCCACUGUGCGCCAAGGAUGGGCCAGAAGAGCCUGGACAGGACCGACUGAUCUGACCCUCUUGCUGUACAGACAAGGAUACAGGGGCUGGACAGUGCCAGGGUGACCUGGCCGGCAGGUGGCCGAGGCAGGACUCCUAACUCUGAGGCUCUUUCCCCUGCUCACAAACAAACAGAAAGCAAACCUGCUUUCUGUCUGAUUCCUACAUUUGAUUCCCGUCACCCUGGAUUACUGUGAAAGUAACUCCCCCAUCCAGUGCUCCAAGUGAGGUCCCAAAAGGAUCGAUCACAUACGGUGCAAGACGUUCACAAUGCCAGGUUAAAGAAAUGUGCACUUGGCUCUUCCAGACUGUCCACUCCACUGCGUCCAUGCCUCUUGUCCAAGACCAGUCGCUGCCUCUCCCUGACACCCCCCCCCCCGGGACGCUACUCCUUCAGGAAGCCUGCCCCUAUGAGUGCCACCAGCUCCUGGCUUGGGGACCCUGCCUUAGCACCCAGUGGAAGGAGCACCUCUGGUGGCUCACCCAAGGCACACGGCUGGCAUUUUUGUUUGCCAUCUUGUUUCUGCACGCGCACUGGUGGGCGGGGCUGUCUCCCUCCUCCCUCUGGAUCUUUCCCGGGACCACCCCAGUUGUUUCUGGAGAUGGAGAGGGCCCAGGGCUGUGAGAGAAGGGCUUCCGGGGACAAGAGGGCUGUCCUCAGUGUAAAAAUAGGUCCCUUGAGCCCUCCCAGCUUCCACCUCCCCAUCUAUAAUUUGGUUUACUAAGCACCGUGAGGGCUCACUGCAGGUCUGACUCUCCUCCUUGGGGUAAGGGCAGGCCCCGGAGGUGCUGAGAAUACCCCUGCCACAUGCCCAGCCAGGUGGAUGGACGCAGGGA